This 427-nucleotide ribosomal RNA is filed under the name uncultured bacterium. Its description in RNAcentral is "partial 16S ribosomal RNA". It matches the Rfam family "Bacterial small subunit ribosomal RNA", at positions 355 to 774 of the family's 1533-position model. The record is from RNAcentral.
UGGGGAAUAUUGCACAAUGGGCGCAAGCCUGAUGCAGCCAUGCCGCGUGUAUGAAGAAGGCCUUCGGGUUGUAAAGUACUUUCAGCGGGGAGGAAGGGAGUAAAGUUAAUACCUUUGCUCAUUGACGUUACCCGCAGAAGAAGCACCGGCUAACUCCGUGCCAGCAGCCGCGGUAAUACGGAGGGUGCAAGCGUUAAUCGGAAUUACUGGGCGUAAAGCGCACGCAGGCGGUUUGUUAAGUCAGAUGUGAAAUCCCCGGGCUCAACCUGGGAACUGCAUCUGAUACUGGCAAGCUGGAGUCUCGUAGAGGGGGGUAGAAUUCCAGGUGUAGCGGUGAAAUGCGUAGAGAUCUGGAGGAAUACCGGUGGCGAAGGCGGCCCCCUGGACGAAGACUGACGCUCAGGUGCGAAAGCGUGGGGAGCAAACA